UGGUGGAGCGAUUUGUCUGGUCAAUUCCGAUAACGAACGAGACUCUAGCCUACUAAAUAGUUCGGGGACCCCCACAAAGGGGCCCCGCUUCAACUUCUUAGAGGGCCAGGUGGCGUUUAGCCACACGAGAUUGAGCAAUAACA
Molecule: ribosomal RNA, 143 nt
Filed under: uncultured eukaryote
Lineage: Eukaryota
Description: partial 18S ribosomal RNA
Rfam family: Eukaryotic small subunit ribosomal RNA
Source: RNAcentral